UACGUAGGGUGCGAGCGUUAAUCGGAAUUACUGGGCGUAAAGCGUGCGCAGGCGGUUCGUUAAGUUCGUUGUGAAAGCCCCGGGCUCAACCUGGGAACUGCAAUGGAAACUGGCGGGCUUGAGUGUGGCAGAGGGGGGUGGAAUUCCGCGUGUAGCAGUGAAAUGCGUAGAUAUCGGAAGGAACAUCAGUGGCGAAGGCGACUUCCUGGACCAAUACUGACGCUCAGGUGCGAAAGCGUGGGGAGCAAACAGG
Molecule: ribosomal RNA, 253 nt
Filed under: uncultured bacterium
Lineage: Bacteria
Description: partial 16S ribosomal RNA
Rfam family: Bacterial small subunit ribosomal RNA
Source: RNAcentral